AGAAUACUAGGCAAUGCCUUCCCACAACCAGUGGGAGCAUGGGGAAUAAGCUCCAUGCUCAAGAGGGAAAGAGCCCAGAUCACCAGCUAAGGCCCCAGAAUAAUUGCUUAGUGGUAAAGGAGGUAAGGGUGCAGAAACAGCCAGGAGGUUUGCUUAGAAGCAGCCACCCUUUAAAGAGUGCGUAAUAGCUCACUGGUGGAGCGCUCUCGCGCCGAAAAUUUACGGGGCUAAGUGAUUUGCCGAAGCUGUGGGUUUAUGUAUUCAUUACAUAUACGGUAGAGGAGCGUUCCGCAAUAGGGUGAAGCAAAGGCGAAAGCACUUGUGGACAAGGCGGAAGUGAGAAUGUCGGCUUGAGUAACGUAAACAUUGGUGAAGAAUCCAAUGCCCCGAAAACCUAAGGGUUCCUUCACUAGGCUCGUCCAUGGAGGGUUAGUCAGGACCUAAGGUUAGGCCGUUAGGCGUCGCCGAUGGACAACAGGUCAACAUUCCUGUACUAUUUUUAGUUGAUACCGAGGGACGAAACAAUUGCUAGCCAACCAGUGUUGGGGUCUGGUUUGGUCACUUCAAAAGAAAAUAGGGAAAAAAAACUGUAUUUUCUACGAAGUACUUGGUAAAACAAAUAAGCAAAUGUUCUCCAAGAAAAGCUCGAACUAUCUUAAACUAAAAGUACCUGUACCUGAAACCGACACAGGUAGGUAGGUAGAGAAUACUAAGGGGCGCGAGACAACUCUCUCUAAG
Molecule: ribosomal RNA, 738 nt
Filed under: Symbiochloris reticulata
Lineage: Eukaryota; Viridiplantae; Chlorophyta; Trebouxiophyceae; Trebouxiales; Trebouxiaceae
Description: bacterial LSU rRNA
Rfam family: Bacterial large subunit ribosomal RNA
Source: RNAcentral